GAUGAACGCUGGCGGCGUGCCUAAUACAUGCAAGUCGAGCGAACGGACGAGAAGCUUGCUUUUCUGAUGUUAGCGGCGGACGGGUGAGUAACACGUGGAUAACCUACCUAUAAGACUGGGAUAACUUCGGGAAACCGGAGCUAAUACCGGAUAAUAUUUUGAACCGCAUGGUUCAAAAGUGAAAGACGGUCUUGCUGUCACUUAUAGAUGGAUCCGCGCUGCAUUAGCUAGUUGGUAAGGUAACGGCUUACCAAGGCAACGAUGCAUAGCCGACCUGAGAGGGUGAUCGGCCACACUGGAACGGAGAAACGGUCCAGACUCCUACGGGAGGCAGCAGUAGGGAAUCUUCCGCAAUGGGCGAAAGCCUGACGGAGCAACGCCGCGUGAGUGAUGAAGGUCUUCGGAUCGUAAAACUCUGUUAUUAGGGAAGAACAUAUGUGUAAGUAACUGUGCACAUCUUGACGGUACCUAAUCAGAAAGCCACGGCUAACUACGUG
Molecule: ribosomal RNA, 497 nt
Filed under: uncultured bacterium
Lineage: Bacteria
Description: partial 16S ribosomal RNA
Rfam family: Bacterial small subunit ribosomal RNA
Source: RNAcentral